CCGACACAAACAGGCCCUGCGCUGAGUCCAAACGGCACGCUCAUCGUACAGGAUCACCACUGCAGAAGGUUACAGCAGGCACAGACACAGGCUGAGAUUCAAGAUCUGGCCUGGGUCACAUGCCAGGAAGUCCCUGAGAAAUGCUACCUACCUGUCAUGAAGCAGAAUAUGCCAGAGAGGUCCCCAAGAAGGGUAGCCAGGGAUCGGAGUUAAGGGAAUGCGGUCAGCCUGCCCUGUCAGUGCCCGUGUCCACGUACUCGGCAGAACACCACCUUCUCCAUCCUGGCUCUUCCCAAAGGCCAACUCUCUGACCCAUGCACAGAACAAAGGUGUCCUUGGAUAUACAUUCUGUGUGCUGCUGCUGACCCUGACAGAUCACUUUGCCUAUAUGAGAUGGACACAGUUUAUAUCCAAAGAGCCUUCUUUAUUUGCCGUGACAUGGAAGAGACUCGAUGGCUAUGGCUUUUCCCAGGGCUGGGUCUUGGAGAACUUCAAGCCCAACGCUCUACGGUAAAAGGCUGGGCAGGCUGUCACUGAGAAAAUUCAGAAUGCGGAUUGAUUCUG
Long non-coding RNA from Hipposideros armiger (great roundleaf bat), 564 nucleotides. RefSeq lists it as uncharacterized. The transcript is spliced from 3 exons. The record is from RefSeq and is a predicted model, not a curated record. Lineage: Eukaryota; Metazoa; Chordata; Mammalia; Chiroptera; Hipposideridae.